UGCACGCACGGGUUUUGUUUUGCCAGCAGCAGCACAACCACAACCACAACCACCUCCGCCACCAAACUUGCCCAUGCUUACGGCGUGUUUGGCCCCUCCGAAACUCUACCUAAGCUCCAAUGAAAAAUAAGCGAUUGCGCCUUGGCUAGUGACUGAUUGGCUAACCUCGUGUGCAACAUGUCUGGCCUCGAGAAUCUUUUAGCGGCUUCGAUUUCGCUGUUCGGAUUUGGCCAAUUGAGGGCUCGGUUCAGUCAAAACAGUCCGCUAAACUAUGCUCGCUACCAGUACAGACAAAUGGACUCGAAUAGGCUGAUGGAAGUCACACGGUGUUGCUGCUUUGUCUGAAAGAUCUUGAGAAGGAUUCAAUAGUAACAUGACAGUGUUUCGAGGCGCGGUGAUGCCUAAGGUCUCUAUCAGGAGAGAAUCGCAUGAUGGUUGUUCGACAGACCUCUGUCUCAGGCAAAUCAAAAAAACCAAAGGAACAUGAAGGGAGGGGUUACAGAUAAACGUGGUUUUAUGGAGACCGCUACUCCAACCGUAUCGCGAACCCUACACCCCAUAGAGCCCCUCACUACAUGGAACGCGGGUGUUAUUUUCAAUAGGGGCCCCUGAAAGAAUACGAACUGGAGUAGGUAAUGAAGUGCUAUUGACCCUAUAUAUAUCACAUCCAAGGGUUUUUCUGGGAGCAGAGAGUUGCACUGUACAAACAUACAUGAGCUAUACGCAUUACUGUGUCGAACUUCCAGCGCGGGACAUGGGUAUCCACUAUAUUACUAACACCCGUGUGCCCCUGACAGAUAAAAAUACACAUCCCUCAAGUCAAGGAUGGGUUGAGAGUGACUAGUCAGCGCGGUUUUGCGCAUUUUCAAUGAAGGACUGUGUGGUCUUGAUGGUUCCGCGGGUUCUCUGGUCGAGAUCCCAAACCAUGUUCAACUGUAACCCCACAUGGAUUAAAACGGUUGCGGACGAGAACCAACAUUGACAGAAUGAUAGGACUAAUGGUGCAUGGGAGAUAAACAUGGUAGGCUUAGGGUUAGCCAGGUGUAACAAAAAUGAGGAAAGGUUCCUGAGUG
Molecule: small RNA, 1073 nt
Filed under: Histoplasma capsulatum var. duboisii H88
Lineage: Eukaryota; Fungi; Ascomycota; Eurotiomycetes; Onygenales; Ajellomycetaceae
Description: Histoplasma capsulatum H88 hypothetical RNA
Source: RNAcentral